UAGCCGUAAACGAUACUCGCUAGGUGUCGGCCACGGUGCGACCGUUGUCGGUGCCGUAGGGAAGCCGUGAAGCGAGCCACCUGGGAAGUACGGCCGCAAGGCUGAAACUUAAAGGAAUUGGCGGGGGAGCACCACAACGGGUGGAGCUUGCGGUUUAAUUGGAUUCAACGCCGGAAAUCUUACCGGGACCGACAGCAACAUGAAGGCCAGGCUGAAGACUUUGCCGGAUUAGCUGAGAGGAGGUGCAUGGCGUAGUCGGUGU
This 262-nucleotide ribosomal RNA is filed under the name uncultured archaeon. RNAcentral describes it as "partial 16S ribosomal RNA". It matches the Rfam family "Archaeal small subunit ribosomal RNA", at positions 748 to 1010 of the family's 1478-position model. The record is from RNAcentral.